CACACUCUGUUCUCGAAUGGAAUGAAAUUAUUUAUGUGAAGUGUGUUUUUUCAUGCUCCUGCAGUAGUAGCUCUUCAUUUGAAGUGUGAUUCAUACUCCUACUUGUUCAUGUGAUUGUUUGGCUUGUUCAUUUGGAAUGGAAUUUGUUCUUCAUGGAGUACAACAAGAGUGGUAGUCUCAAGUAGAAGUGGUUGUUCAUGUGUUGUUGUUGAUGCAAUUGUUGUACUCCAACUGGAGUAGUUUUAACUUCUGGUAGAGUAGUUAAAACAUGGUGUAGUAAAUUGUAAAACUUUAGUUAGAGUAGUUAAAACAUGUUUUACUUGCAGUAGUAGUGGUGGUCAUCUAGUUAAAACAUGUAAUACUACUUGCAGUAGUAGUGGUGGUCAUCUAGUUAAAACAUGUAAUACUACUUGCAGUAGCAGUGGUGGUCAUCUAGUUAAAAAAAUGGUAUUUGCAGUAGUAGUGGUGGUCAUUUAGUUAAAACAUGUUAUUUGUCGUACUUGGGGUAUUAGAUGGAGUAUAAUGCUCUAUAGGAUUUCUUUUCUUUUAGAAUUCCUUUUCUUUCACUCCUCUCCUCUCCACUCCUUUCUGUAGGAGUAGGGGUAGAUGACGUGCUGUAUUAUGGAGGAGUAUUCUGUAGGAGUAUUAUAGUUAUGGGAUUUGGAUGCAAAUUUCCAGUAGUUAGAGUAAGCUUGAGUUUAAUUAAAUUUGGAUGCAAAAUUCAGUUAAAAGCUUCUGUGAAGUCCAGUGUGAACUUAACUGAAU
RNAcentral lists this long non-coding RNA (765 nucleotides) under Triticum aestivum (bread wheat). Its description in RNAcentral is "long non-coding RNA (TAES_LNC016150)". Lineage: Eukaryota; Viridiplantae; Streptophyta; Magnoliopsida; Poales; Poaceae. The record is from RNAcentral.